UGGGGAAUAUUGCGCAAUGGGCGAAAGCCUGACGCAGCGACGCCGCGUGAGGGAAGACGGUCCUAUGGAUUGUAAACCUCUUUUGCAGGGGAGCAAGACGCGGUACGUGUACCGUGCUGGAGAGUACCCUGAGAAAAAGCAUCGGCUAACUCCGUGCCAGCAGCCGCGGUAAUACGGAGGAUGCGAGCGUUAUCCGGAUUUAUUGGGUUUAAAGGGUGCGUAGGCGGACUGGUAAGUCAGUGGUAAAAAUGCGGUGCUCAACGCCGUAGUGCCGUUGAAACUGCCGGUCUUGAGUGAGCGAGAAGUAUGCGGAAUGCGUGGUGUAGCGGUGAAAUGCAUAGAUAUCACGCAGAACUCCGAUUGCGAAGGCAGCAUACCGGCGCUCAACUGACGCUGAGGCACGAAAGCGUGGGGGAUCGAACAGGAUUAGAUACC
This 435-nucleotide ribosomal RNA is filed under the name uncultured bacterium. Its description in RNAcentral is "bacterial SSU rRNA". It matches the Rfam family "Bacterial small subunit ribosomal RNA", at positions 355 to 786 of the family's 1533-position model. The record is from RNAcentral.